This 361-nucleotide long non-coding RNA is filed under the name Androctonus crassicauda. The record is from RNAcentral. Lineage: Eukaryota; Metazoa; Arthropoda; Arachnida; Scorpiones; Buthidae.
AAGCAGACGAGAAAUGGCGGUUGGUGUAUGUGUUUUGAUGUAAAGUUAAUACAGUAUAGAGAUUUAGGAAAAGGGAUAUGAAAAGCAUUAAAUUUGUAUUUGAAUGCAAUAUCUAUCCAUAUAAUCGAAGAUGGAAGAUAGUGGUAUAGAUAGUGAUUCUAAAUCUAAUAGUAAUAGUUGUGUUGCUGCUCCAUCUGUGUGCAAUGGGCGUGAAUCGUCGAUGGCUGUACGGAAAGAAAACAAAUCAGAGGAAUCGAAUUUACAAGAGAAAUCUGGUACAAGUAAAAAGACAUGCAUCUGCAUAACUUCAAAAUCAUGGAACUUGAAACUGUUUAAAUCAGGGACUUACUUUGGAUUCAAC